GUCGCGUCUGCUGUUUUUGUGCCAUACUAUGCUGGUCUGGAUCUUCGUCGCUAUUUAUGGGGAUUCAAUACUUCUGUGAGAGAUUCAUCAGGUCUUGAUUUGGUUAAAUGGCUUGCAGGACAACCUGAAUGGAAAAGAAUGCGGGGUAAGGAUCAUUUCUUAAUUUCAGGUAGGAUUGCGAAGGAUUUCAGGAGAAAAUCAAAUAGGAUGUCUGAGUGGGGUAGCAAUUUCAGGUUCCUACCAGAGUCUGAGAACAUGUCAAUGUUAACAAUUGAAUCAGGGUCCUGGAAAAAUGAUUUUGCUGUACCAUACCCAACAUAUUUCCAUCCUUCAACAGAUAAUGAGGUUUUCCAAUGGCAGGAACUG
RNAcentral lists this long non-coding RNA (366 nucleotides) under Durio zibethinus. RNAcentral's name for it is "long non-coding RNA (DZIB_LNC000637)". The record is from RNAcentral. Lineage: Eukaryota; Viridiplantae; Streptophyta; Magnoliopsida; Malvales; Malvaceae.